ACGCUGUCUUCAGAGUUUGAUCCUGGCUCAGGAUGAACGCUAGCGGCAGGCUUAACACAUGCAAGUCGGGGGGCAGCGGGAUGUAGCAAUACAUUGCCGGCGACCGGCGCAAGGGUGCGUAACGCGUGAGCAACAUGCCCGUCACAGGAGGAUAAACCAUGGAAACGUGGCCUAAUACUCCAUAGUAUAUUUGGGAGGCAUCUCCUGGAUAUUAAAGCUUCGGUGGUGACGGAUUGGCUCGCGUGACAUUAGCUAGAUGGAGAGGUAACGGCUCACCAUGGCGACGAUGUCUAGGGGAACUGAGAGGUUAGUCCCCCACACUGGUACUGAGACACGGACCAG
This 342-nucleotide ribosomal RNA is filed under the name uncultured bacterium. RNAcentral's name for it is "bacterial SSU rRNA". It matches the Rfam family "Bacterial small subunit ribosomal RNA", at positions 1 to 334 of the family's 1533-position model. The record is from RNAcentral.